Styela clava is the source of this 588-nucleotide non-coding RNA. The record is from RefSeq and is a predicted model, not a curated record. NCBI's taxonomy places the organism in Eukaryota, Metazoa, Chordata, Ascidiacea, Stolidobranchia, Styelidae.
AAUAAAAAAAAUUAUUUAACUGCCAUUUUGACAGAAUUAUUCAACUUUGCUAUAAAAAAAAAUUUGUCGAAAAACAGUUUUGCCACUUGACUUGUACUUGAAGUGUUCAGCGGAAAACUCGGCGGUGCUGGUAUGUUUGUAUGAAAUCAUCGACACAGCAAACAUCUUUUUACGCAAAAUAACAAAUUUACUGAUUUUUUCAUUACAUUGUGUUUCAUAAAUAGUUCAAUUUCAUCAGAUAGCAACUUAGUAUUUUCCAGACUUGGAAUAUGGAUUUUGGUGCUAAUGCCCGACUUUUGUUCUUGCUGGUAAUUUCAUUACUGAUGCUGUUGCAAGCUAUAGAUAUGGUUGCAUGUCAAGGAAGAGGAGGAGGAAAAAUGGGAUUCGAAGAACAGUUGGAGAUGAAAGAAUAUUGGGAGAAAGUUUUCAAAAAAUAAUGAGAUGAAUGCAUUUUCAGCGAAAUUCUGAACAUACAAGGAAUCCUACUAUAUCCAAUGCUAUUCAUAUACGACACACUAUAGAUCUAACAUAUAUCAACAUCAUAUCGUAUAAAAAUAAAGCUUGAAAAUAAAACUGAAUUGUAAUAAA